This 465-nucleotide long non-coding RNA is filed under the name Homo sapiens (human). Its description in RNAcentral is "HSALNT0000724". Lineage: Eukaryota; Metazoa; Chordata; Mammalia; Primates; Hominidae. The record is from RNAcentral.
CGUGCCCGGGCCUUGCCGCCAUCCCCAGGACUGUGGGACAGGCCUGGCUCAUGAGAAGCCCCUUCCUGCCCAAGGGAGACUGGGCUCACUCACAUGCUUCAUCCCCCACCCAGGUGGGGCCAUGGGAGGCUUGAGGGGGCUCCAGGCAUCAGCUUUAGGGAUGGGAACCUCCCCAGGGGCUGUCCGUAGGACGCCCAACCCAGGCCUCCCCCGAUUCCACCAACCAAGCCUCGGGGGCACACACUGAGGGAUACCAGCCUCAGUCCUAAGCAGACCCCUUCUCCAUCCCCCAGGUGCCAGGCCUCCCACAGUGGGGGACAGACCCUGCCCCCUCCUGCUGCGGCUCCAAGUGAGCCUGGUGCAGGUCGGUGAGAGGGUGGGACCUUGGUCCAGGCUGCGAAGCAGAGCAGUGGGGGCUGGGAAAGCUCAGGAAAGGCAGAGGAAGCCAGGCCAGGGCCCAGCCGC